GAAGAUGUAACGGGGCUAAACCAUGCACCGAAGCUGCGGCAGCGAACGUAUCACCCAAGACAACUUUACGGAGUUGACGAUUGACGGAGCGAAGCGACGUCAAAGCGUUCAUUAAAGUCGAGUUGGCUUAGGGAUACGUUCGUUGGGUAGGGGAGCGUUCUGUAAGCCUGUGAAGGUGUGUCGUGAGGCAUGCUGGAGGUAUCAGAAGUGCGAAUGCUGACAUAAGUAACGAUAAAGCGGGUGAAAAGCCCGCUCGCCGGAAGACCAAGGGUUCCUGUCCAACGUUAAUCGGGGCAGGGUGAGUCGACCCCUAAGGCGAGGCCGAAAGGCGUAGUCGAUGGGAAACGGGUUAAUAUUCCCGUACUUGGUGUUACUGCGAAGGGGGGACGGAGAAGGCUAUGUUGGCCGGGCGACGGUUGUCCCGGUUUAAGCGUGUAGGUGUGUGUUCCAGGUAAAUCCGGUUCACUUUAACACUGAGGCGUGACGACGAGGCACUACGGUGCUGAAGCAACAAAUGCCCUGCUUCCAGGAAAAGCCUCUAAGCAUCAGGUAACACGAAAUCGUACCCCAAACCGACACAGGUGGUCAGGUAGAGAAUACCAAGGCGCUUGAGAGAACUCGGGUGAAGGAACUAGGCAAAAUGGUGCCGUAACUUCGGGAGAAGGCACGCUGACACGUAGGUGAAGUGAUUUACUCAUGGAGCUGAAGUCAGUCGAAGAUACCAGCUGGCUGCAACUGUUUAUUAAAAACACAGCACUGUGCAAACACGAAAGUGGACGUAUACGGUGUGACGCCUGCCCGGUGCCGGAAGGUUAAUUGAUGGGGUCAGCGUAAGCGAAGCUCCUGAUCGAAGCCCCGGUAAACGGCGGCCGUAACUAUAACGGUCCUAAGGUAGCGAAAUUCCUUGUCGGGUAAGUUCCGACCUGCACGAAUGGCGUAAUGAUGGCCAGGCUGUCUCCACCCGAGACUCAGUGAAAUUGAACUCGCUGUGAAGAUGCAGUGUACCCGCGGCAAGACGGAAAGACCCCGUGAACCUUUACUAUAGCUUGACACUGAACAUUGAGCCUUGAUGUGUAGGAUAGGUGGGAGGCUUUGAAGUGUGGACGCCAGUCUGCAUGGAGCCGACCUUGAAAUACCACCCUUUAAUGUUUGAUGUUCUAACGUGGACCCGUAAUCCGGGUUGCGGACAGUGUCUGGUGGGUAGUUUGACUGGGGCGGUCUCCUCCUAAAGAGUAACGGAGGAGCACGAAGGUUGGCUAAUCCUGGUCGGACAUCAGGAGGUUAGUGCAAUGGCAUAAGCCAGCUUGACUGCGAGCGUGACGGCGCGAGCAGGUGCGAAAGCAGGUCAUAGUGAUCCGGUGGUUCUGAAUGGAAGGGCCAUCGCUCAACGGAUAAAAGGUACUCCGGGGAUAACAGGCUGAUACCGCCCAAGAGUUCAUAUCGACGGCGGUGUUUGGCACCUCGAUGUCGGCUCAUCACAUCCUGGGGCUGAAGUAGGUCCCAAGGGUAUGGCUGUUCGCCAUUUAAAGUGGUACGCGAGCUGGGUUUAGAACGUCGUGAGACAGUUCGGUCCCUAUCUGCCGUGGGCGCUGGAGAACUGAGGGGGGCUGCUCCUAGUACGAGAGGACCGGAGUGGACGCAUCACUGGUGUUCGGGUUGUCAUGCCAAUGGCACUGCCCGGUAGCUAAAUGCGGAAGAGAUAAGUGCUGAAAGCAUCUAA
This 1720-nucleotide ribosomal RNA is filed under the name Salmonella enterica subsp. enterica serovar Typhimurium. RNAcentral's name for it is "partial 23S ribosomal RNA". It matches the Rfam family "Bacterial large subunit ribosomal RNA", at positions 1166 to 2784 of the family's 2925-position model. Lineage: Bacteria; Pseudomonadati; Pseudomonadota; Gammaproteobacteria; Enterobacterales; Enterobacteriaceae. The record is from RNAcentral.